UUGACUCUGGGUGAUAAUGCGGGGUAAGACGGAGUGUGUGAGUGUUAAUCGGAAUGACGGGGCGUAAAGCGAGGGUUGGUGGCGCAUUAAGGUACAUGGUAAAUCCCCGGGCUUAAGCUGGGAACUGCAUGUGAUACUGGUGGUGCUAGAAUAUGUGAGAGGGAAGUAGAAUUCCAGGUGGAGCGGUGAAAUGCGUAGAGAUCUGGAGGAAUACCGAUGGCGAAGGCAGCUUCCUGGCAUAAUAUUGACACUGAGAUUCGAAAGCGUGGGUAGCAAACAGGAUUAGAUACCCUAGUAGUC
RNAcentral lists this ribosomal RNA (300 nucleotides) under uncultured Roseomonas sp. Its description in RNAcentral is "bacterial SSU rRNA". It matches the Rfam family "Bacterial small subunit ribosomal RNA", at positions 497 to 795 of the family's 1533-position model. The record is from RNAcentral. Lineage: Bacteria; Pseudomonadati; Pseudomonadota; Alphaproteobacteria; Acetobacterales; Roseomonadaceae.